RNAcentral lists this ribosomal RNA (492 nucleotides) under uncultured bacterium. RNAcentral's name for it is "partial 16S ribosomal RNA". It matches the Rfam family "Bacterial small subunit ribosomal RNA", at positions 29 to 507 of the family's 1533-position model. The record is from RNAcentral.
AGUGAACGCUGGCGGUAGGCCUAACACAUGCAAGUCGAACGGCAGCACAGUAAGAGCUUGCUCUUACGGGUGGCGAGUGGCGGACGGGUGAGGAAUACAUCGGAAUCUACUUUUUCGUGGGGGAUAACGUAGGGAAACUUACGCUAAUACCGCAUACGACCUACGGGUGAAAGCAGGGGAUCUUCGGACCUUGCGCGAUUGAAUGAGCCGAUGUCGGAUUAGCUAGUUGGCGGGGUAAAGGCCCACCAAGGCGACGAUCCGUAGCUAGUCUGAGAGGAUGAUCAGCCACACUGGAACUGAGACACGGUCCAGACUCCUACGGGAGGCAGCAGUGGGGAAUAUUGGACAAUGGGCGCAAGCCUGAUCCAGCCAUGCCGCGUGGGUGAAGAAGGCCUUCGGGUUGUAAAGCCCUUUUGUUGGGAAAGAAAAGCAGCAGGUUAAUACCCCGCUGUUCUGACGGUACCCAAAGAAUAAGCACCGGCUAACUUCGUG